RNAcentral lists this ribosomal RNA (369 nucleotides) under Triticum aestivum (bread wheat). RNAcentral's name for it is "partial small subunit ribosomal RNA". The record is from RNAcentral. Lineage: Eukaryota; Viridiplantae; Streptophyta; Magnoliopsida; Poales; Poaceae.
AUGGUUUUGAUAUCCGUCACCGUCGGCCCUAGUCCUUGUUAUGAUUCGGAUGUGGAGGUAUGUGAACCGNNNNNNNNNNAAAUUCCAACCGACCCUAUUGCCGAGAGGUUAAAUUUAGUUGAAAGAGAAAACAAGUACUUGAAAGAAAAAUUGAAAAGAAUUGAGGGGGAGAAGAUGGAAUUGGAGUUGCAUGUUGCCGAUGUCGUCGAUGAUCACAAGAUCAAGAUGGAGAAAAUGCGCUUGAAGAUUAGAAAGAUUAGAAAAUAUGCCAUCGAUAGUGAGGCUUGGUAUCAUUAUGCUGUUGGAUCCAUUGUUACCUUAGUUGCGAUCUUGAUCAUAUUUGUUGUUGCAUUUAAAUGCUUUAGCUAG